Molecule: non-coding RNA, 793 nt
Organism: Taeniopygia guttata (zebra finch)
Lineage: Eukaryota; Metazoa; Chordata; Aves; Passeriformes; Estrildidae
Source: RefSeq, a predicted model, not a curated record
AGACUGCUGUGGGAGCUGUGUGCUCGCUUGGGUUUUGGUUGUGGUUCCGGCUUUCUAUAAAGAAAUUCCAUUUUGCACUUGAAGCCUGGCUGGCAGGGGUGUGAGCUCCCAGCCCAUGGCACCUUUUUCAGCAGGCAGGAACAGAGAGGGAUCGUCCAAAAUUCAUAUUUCAGCAGGCUCUGCAGGCUGCAUGGAGCCAUCCAGUGGAGUGGAUCUGUAAGAGGCUGCAGAGUAAAAAGCAUCUCUGGCAUGGAAGAGAAAGAUCAAACCCCCUUGCCUGGUCCUGCCUGCAUCAAAUCCCAGCUGAUCCAGGCAGUGUGCUACAGACAUGGCAGCUCACAGUCUUAGAGGGUCAACUCUGCCCAUGAGCUGAGAAAGUAAAACCAACCAGGAGCAGCACAAACGUACAAAACACUCCAGUUUACUUCCAGCACCAUUCCCAGCAUGUCAGUUACACCUCUCCCAAACAGAAGACUUUUCCCAGUCCCACAGCAGUGCAGUUCAGUAGUCAAUGGGCUUAGAGCCAUUUCCCAUCUCAGCAAUGGAAGUGAUCUCUCAGCUUAUUGGAUCCCAAAGAGAGUUCCCAGCAGCAAAACAGAACAAGCUGCUUCCAGCAAGACACGAGGCAGCAGCGCUCUGCUGUGUGUCUCCCCACAGAGCCCAGCAGGCAGUGCUGGCUGCCCUGGCUCCUCUCAGAGUGGGGGUACCCCCCUGAAUUUUCGGAUGACGUUGGCCAGCCGCUUGGCCAGCCCGCCCCGGCUGGGCUCCUCCACGUGGAACGUUCUGGUCAGCA